UGAUAAAAAUAGCUGUCACUACCAACCUUGGUUAGACAGCGCUCCGAAAAGCCAAAUACUUAGACUUAGGAGAUAUUGCUCAGAACUAAGAGACUUCGAUAUACAAGCAGAUUCCCUAAAAAAAAAAUUUGUUUAAAAAAACUACUCUAAAAUAGAACUAGAAAAUACCAUCAGGGACAUCCAAAAAAGAGAUAGAAAUGAACUUCUAAAAUAUAAACCUAAAAUCACAGAUACAGCAAUGCCCUUACCGAUUAUUUUUAACUUUAAUAAUAAGAGUAAUAAUGUAAAAAAGGUUAUAAGAAAACACUGGCACCUUCUGAAACAAGACGAAAUAUUAAAUAAAAUUAUACCUAAGCGCUCAAAUAUUAUUUUUAGGGGAGCCCAAAGUUUUAAGUCUAUAUUAACCAAUAAUUUCACAAGAGAAACCAAAAAGACCCUUUUUCCCACAAAUCAAAGGUUUUUGUAAGUGCAAAAUGUGCAUAGUGUGUAGAAUCACUGACCCUGAUGUUCCUCAUAAAGUAACCGAAUUUGUAUCAAAAAGGACAAACAAGGUUUAUAAAAUAAAUGAUUUUAUUAAUUGUUCUUCGAAAAAUGUGAUGUAUCUGCUUGAAUGCCCCUGUGGCCUCCAAUAUGUUGGAAUGACCACAAGGUGUCUGAAAAUAAGUUUAAGCGAGCACUGCAGAAACAUUAAAAAUGGAUACUUGAAUCAUUCAGUAUCCAAACAUUUUAUUACACAUAAAGACCCAAAAAUUUUGAAAUGUAUUGGUAUAAAAAAUUGAUUCCAUGGAGGGGUGGAAAUAUUAAAAACAUUUUGGGUAGAAAAGAAAUGGAGUGGGUUUAUAAACUUAAAACUCUUGC
This is a non-coding RNA of Pelobates cultripes (western spadefoot toad), 858 nucleotides long. The record is from the annotation of a GenBank genome assembly. Lineage: Eukaryota; Metazoa; Chordata; Amphibia; Anura; Pelobatidae.